This 253-nucleotide ribosomal RNA is filed under the name uncultured bacterium. RNAcentral describes it as "partial 16S ribosomal RNA". It matches the Rfam family "Bacterial small subunit ribosomal RNA", at positions 524 to 776 of the family's 1533-position model. The record is from RNAcentral.
UACAGAGGUCUCAAGCGUUGUUCGGAUUCAUUGGGCGUAAAGGGUGUGUAGGUGGCGCGCUAAGUCGGGUGUGAAAUUUCGGAGCUUAACUCCGAAACUGCAUUCGAUACUGGCGUGCUUGAGGACUGGAGAGGAGACUGGAAUUUACGGUGUAGCAGUGAAAUGCGUAGAUAUCGGGAGGAACACCAGUGGCGAAGGCGAUCAUCUGGGGUUGUUCUGACGCUGAGGAGCGAAAGCUAGGGGAGCAAACGGG